RNAcentral lists this ribosomal RNA (506 nucleotides) under uncultured bacterium. RNAcentral describes it as "partial 16S ribosomal RNA". It matches the Rfam family "Bacterial small subunit ribosomal RNA", at positions 29 to 523 of the family's 1533-position model. The record is from RNAcentral.
AGUGAACGCUGGCGGUAGGCCUAACACAUGCAAGUCGAACGGCAGCACAGAGGAGCUUGCUCCUUGGGUGGCGAGUGGCGGACGGGUGAGGAAUACAUCGGAAUCUACUCUGUCGUGGGGGAUAACGUAGGGAAACUUACGCUAAUACCGCAUACGACCUACGGGUGAAAGCAGGGGAUCUUCGGACCUUGCGCGAUUGAAUGAGCCGAUGUCGGAUUAGCUAGUUGGCGGGGUAAAGGCCCACCAAGGCGACGAUCCGUAGCUGGUCUGAGAGGAUGAACAGCGACACUGGAACUGAGACACGGUCCAGACUCCUACGGGAGGCAGCAGUGGGGAAUAUUGGACAAUGGGCGCAAGCCUGAUCCAGCCAUACCGCGUGGGUGAAGAAGGCCUUCGGGUUGUAAAGCCCUUUUGUUGGGAAAGAAAUCCAUCUGGUUAAUACCCGGGUGGGAUGACGGUACCCAAAGAAUAAGCACCGGCUAACUUCGUGCCAGCCGCCGCGGUAA